This is a non-coding RNA of Acanthosepion pharaonis, 113 nucleotides long. Lineage: Eukaryota; Metazoa; Mollusca; Cephalopoda; Sepiida; Sepiidae. The record is from the annotation of a GenBank genome assembly.
UACGGCCAAUUCACAUUGAAACACCGAUUUCCGUACGAUCAACGAAGUUAAGCAACCUCGAAUCUGGUCAGUACUUGGAGUGGUGACCGCUUUGGAAUACCAGGUGCUGUAAG